AUGAACGCUAGCGGCAGGCCUAAUACAUGCAAGUCGAACGAGAUUAAGAGGCUUGCUUCUUAUGAAAGUGGCGCACGGGUGCGUAACGCGUAUGCAACCUACCUUAAUCAGGGGGAUAGCCCGAAGAAAUUCGGAUUAAGACCGCAUAAAAACACAGGAUAGCAUUAUCCAAUGUUCAAAUAUUUAUAGGAUUAAGAUGGGCAUGCGUGUCAUUAGCUAGUUGGCGGGGUAACGGCCCACCAAGGCGACGAUGACUAGGGGAUCUGAGAGGAUGACCCCCCACACUGGUACUGAGACACGGACCAGACUCCUACGGGAGGCAGCAGUAAGGAAUAUUGGUCAAUGGAGGGAACUCUGAACCAGCCAUGCCGCGUGCAGGAAGACAGCCCUCUGGGUCGUAAACUGCUUUUAUUCGGGAAUAAACCUUUCUACGUGUAGGAAGCUGAAUGUACCGAAGGAAUAAGGAUCGGCUAACUCCGU
RNAcentral lists this ribosomal RNA (480 nucleotides) under uncultured bacterium. Its description in RNAcentral is "partial 16S ribosomal RNA". It matches the Rfam family "Bacterial small subunit ribosomal RNA", at positions 29 to 506 of the family's 1533-position model. The record is from RNAcentral.